CACCUUUCCAUUCUAAUUCUGAAGCUUUACAUAUAGCUGUAACUACCUGCAAGGCUUUCAACAGCAAGGCCUGUUUUCCUAAGGCCAGUCAUCAGAGCUCCCGGUAUCUCCUCCAUAUGCCCCUGCUCUUGGCAGCUGUGCAAAUAGAGGCAACCCCAGACCUCUUCCUAAUAAGGUGCUCAAAGAGGAUGGAAACUUCUAUUGAAACAGAUCCAAGAGCUAUAUUUCAUCAUGCUCAAGGCA
Long non-coding RNA from Rhea pennata, 243 nucleotides. RefSeq lists it as uncharacterized. NCBI's taxonomy places the organism in Eukaryota, Metazoa, Chordata, Aves, Rheiformes, Rheidae. The transcript has 3 exons. The record is from RefSeq and is a predicted model, not a curated record.